ACGUAGGUGGCAAGCGUUGUCCGGAUUUAUUGGGUUUAAAGGGUUCGUAGGCGGCCCAUUAAGUCAGUGGUGAAAGCCCUCUGCUCAACAGAGGAAUUGCCAUUGAUACUGAUGGUCUUGAGUGUAAGUGAAGUUGGCGGAAUGUGUGGUGUAGCGGUGAAAUGCUUAGAUAUCACACAGAACACCGAUUGCGAAGGCAGCUGGCUAACUUACAACUGACGCUGAGGAACGAAAGUGUGGGGAUCAAACAGGAUUAGAUACCCUGGUAGUCCACACCGUAAACGAUGAUUACUCGAUUUUGGCCGUAAGGUCAGAGUCCAAGCGAAAGUGUUUAGUAAUCCACCUGGGGAGUACGUCCGCAAGGAUG
Molecule: ribosomal RNA, 367 nt
Filed under: uncultured bacterium
Lineage: Bacteria
Description: bacterial SSU rRNA
Rfam family: Bacterial small subunit ribosomal RNA
Source: RNAcentral